Molecule: small RNA, 59 nt
Filed under: Nostoc sp. PCC 7120 = FACHB-418
Lineage: Bacteria; Bacillati; Cyanobacteriota; Cyanophyceae; Nostocales; Nostocaceae
Description: Nostoc sp. PCC 7120 Avashort 5' UTR thermometer
Rfam family: Avashort 5' UTR thermometer
Source: Rfam by way of RNAcentral
AAGAUUAAAGCCUGGAAGCAAUCCCCAGGGAAAACCUUAGAGGAGUCAAAACUAUGACA